GACGUAGGGUGCGAGCGUUGUCCGGAUUUAUUGGGCGUCAAGAGCUCGUCGGCGGCUCGUCGCGUCGACCGUGAAAACCCGCGGCUUAACUGCGGGCUUGCGGUUGAUACGGGCGGGCUAGAGUUCGGUAGGGGAGACUGGAAUUCCUGGUGUAGCGGUGAAAUGCGCAGAUAUCAGGAGGAACACCGGUGGCGAAGGCGGGUCUCUGGGCCGAUACUGACGCUGAGGAGCGAAAGCGUGGGGAGCGAACAGG
Molecule: ribosomal RNA, 253 nt
Filed under: uncultured bacterium
Lineage: Bacteria
Description: partial 16S ribosomal RNA
Rfam family: Bacterial small subunit ribosomal RNA
Source: RNAcentral